RNAcentral lists this ribosomal RNA (422 nucleotides) under uncultured archaeon. Its description in RNAcentral is "partial 16S ribosomal RNA". It matches the Rfam family "Archaeal small subunit ribosomal RNA", at positions 323 to 746 of the family's 1478-position model. The record is from RNAcentral.
CUACGGGAGGCACCAGGCGCGAAACCUUUACAAUGCACGAAAGUGUGAUAAGGGUAUUCCUAGUGCUCAUGUUUUACAUGGGCUUUUGCUAAGCGUAAAUAACUUGGCGAAUAAGGGGUGGGAAAGACUGGUGCCAGCCGCCGCGGUAACACCAGCGCCCCGAGUGGGAACCAUAUUUAUUGGGCCUAAAGCGUCCGUAGCAGGUUAAGCAAAUCUCUUGUGAAAUUGUUCAGCUUAACUGAACAGCGUGCAGGAGACACUACUUAACUAGGAACCGGGAGGAGUCAGAGGUAUUUUGGGGGGAGCGGUAAAAUGCUAUAAUCCUCGAAGGACCACCGAUGGCGAAGGCAUCUGACCAGAACGGAUUCGACUGUGAGGGACGAAAGCCAGGGGAGCGAACCGGAUUAGAUACCCUAGUAGUC